RNAcentral lists this ribosomal RNA (917 nucleotides) under uncultured bacterium. RNAcentral's name for it is "bacterial SSU rRNA". It matches the Rfam family "Bacterial small subunit ribosomal RNA", at positions 8 to 916 of the family's 1533-position model. The record is from RNAcentral.
AGAGUUUGAUCCUGGCUCAGGGCUAACGCUGGCGGCGUGUCUUAGCCAUGCAAGUCGAGCGGUCCUAUGGGGCGACCUAUAGGAUAGCGGCGGACGGCGGAGUAACACGUAGCUAACCUACCCUCCGGACGGGGAUAACCAUUCGAAAGGGUGGCUAAUACCCGAUGGAGUCAUCCGCAAGGGUGAUGAAAGGUGGGCCUCUGUUUACAAGCUCAUGCCGGGGGAGGGGGCUGCGGCCUAUCAGGUAGUUGGUGGGGUAAAGGCCCACCAAGCCUAUGACGGGUAGCCGGCCUGAGAGGGUGACCGGCCCGAGGGACACUGAGACACGGGUCCCACUCCUACGGGAGGCAGCAGGCUAGAAAUUUGGGCAAUGGGGGAAACCCUGACCCAGCGACGCCGCGUGCAGGAAGGAGCCCUUCGGGGUGUAAACUGCUGUCGUGCGGGGCGAAGGGUUUGUAGGCGAAUAGUCUAUAGACUUGACGGUACCGCAGGAGGAAGCCCAGGCUAACCUCGUGCCAGCAGCCGCGGUAAUACGGGGUGGGCGAGCGUUGCCCGGAAUUACUGGGUUUAAAGGGGGUGUAGGCGGUCUGGAUAGUCAGGUGUGUAAUCCAAUCGCUCAACGAUUGGACUGCAUCUGAUACUUUCAGGCUAGAGGGCGGUAGAGGAGAGCGGAACUCCCGGUGUAGCGGUGAAAUGCGUAGACAUCGGGAGGAACGCCGGUGGCGAAGGCGGCUCUCUGGGCCGUUCCUGACGCUGAGGCCCGAAAGCUGGGGGAGCGAAAGGGAUUAGAUACCCCUGUAGUCCCAGCCGUAAACGAUGGGCACUAUGUGUGCCUCUAUAUAGGUGUGUGCCGACGGGAACCAUUAAGUGCCCCACCUGGGGAGUCGUCCCUCAGGUUGAACUCAAAUGAUUGACGG